Molecule: ribosomal RNA, 429 nt
Filed under: Meloe strigulosus
Lineage: Eukaryota; Metazoa; Arthropoda; Insecta; Coleoptera; Meloidae
Description: partial large subunit ribosomal RNA
Rfam family: Bacterial large subunit ribosomal RNA
Source: RNAcentral
AUGACGAAGUUAAAUAGCCGCAGUAUUUUGACUGUGCAAAGGUAGCAUAAUCAUUAGUUUUUUAAUUGAAAGCUGGAAUGAAUGGUCGGAUGAGAAAGAAUCUGUCUCACUUUAAUUUAUUUGAAUUUUAUUUUUAAGUUAAAAAGCUUAAAUUUUAUAGAAAGACGAGAAGACCCUAUAGAGUUUAAUAAGUUAACAUAUAACUGUUUAAGGGUUUUAAUUUAAUUAUUUGUUAAUUUGUUUUGUUGGGGUGACAUUAGAAUUUAAUAAACUUCUUAUUGUUUUUACAUUGAUCUAUGAACCUAUGAUCCUAAUUUUUGGACUACAAGAUAAAAUUACCUUAGGGAUAACAGCGUAAUCUUUUUGGAGAGUUCUUAUCGAUAAAAGGGAUUGCGACCUCGAUGUUGGAUUAAAGUUAAGUUUCGGUGU